GCGGCAGUAGUAUAGUGGUUAGUAUGCGACGUUGCCAACGUUGCGACCAGGGUUCAAAUUGGUCUUAAGGUUCAUCGGCCUUAGACAAUGAAAGUCCCUGCUGCCGCA
Molecule: transfer RNA, 108 nt
Filed under: Candidatus Woesearchaeota archaeon
Lineage: Archaea; Nanobdellati; Candidatus Woesearchaeota
Description: tRNA-Gly
Rfam family: tRNA
About the family: Transfer RNA (tRNA) molecules are approximately 80 nucleotides in length. Their secondary structure includes four short double-helical elements and three loops (D, anti-codon, and T loops).
Source: RNAcentral